GACGAACGCUGGCGGCGUGCUUAACACAUGCAAGUCGAACGGAAAGGCCCUGCUUUUGUGGGGUGCUCGAGUGGCGAACGGGUGAGUAACACGUGAGUAACCUGCCCUUGACUUUGGGAUAACUUCAGGAAACUGGGGCUAAUACCGGAUAGGAGCUCCUGCUGCAUGGUGGGGGUUGGAAAGUUUCGGCGGUUGGGGAUGGACUCGCGGCUUAUCAGCUUGUUGGUGGGGUAGUGGCUUACCAAGGCUUUGACGGGUAGCCGGCCUGAGAGGGUGACCGGCCACAUUGGGACUGAGAUACGGCCCAGACUCCUACGGGAGGCAGCAGUGGGGAAUAUUGAACAAUGGGCGGAAGCCUGAUGCAGCAACGCCGCGUGCGGGAUGACGGCCUUCGGGUUGUAAACCGCUUUCGCAUGUGACGAAGCGUGAGUGACGGUAAUGGGUAAAGAAGCACCGGCUAACUACGUG
This 468-nucleotide ribosomal RNA is filed under the name uncultured bacterium. Its description in RNAcentral is "partial 16S ribosomal RNA". It matches the Rfam family "Bacterial small subunit ribosomal RNA", at positions 28 to 507 of the family's 1533-position model. The record is from RNAcentral.